CCCUUAGAUGUUCUGGGCCGCACGCGCGCUACACUGAUGCAUUCAACGAGCCUAGCCUUGACCGAGAGGUCCGGGUAAUCUUUGAAACUGCAUCGUGAUGGGGCUAGAUUAUUGCAAUUAUUAAUCUUCAACGAGGAAUGCCUAGUAAGCGUGAUUCAUCAAAUCGCGUUGAUUACAUCCCUGCCCUUUGUACACACCGCCCGUCGCUCCUACCGAUUGAGUGUGUUGGUGAGGAGUUUGGAUUGGCCUCGGAAGGUGGUUCGCCACCGUCCGUAGCUGAGAAGUUCUCCAAACCGCCCCACUUAGAGGAAGGAGAAGUCGUAACA
RNAcentral lists this ribosomal RNA (326 nucleotides) under uncultured eukaryote. RNAcentral describes it as "partial 18S ribosomal RNA". It matches the Rfam family "Eukaryotic small subunit ribosomal RNA", at positions 1470 to 1796 of the family's 1831-position model. The record is from RNAcentral.